AUUGAAGCAAGCUAUAUUUGUUGCAAUCUCUCGAUUUAAGAUUCUAACACUGCAAUGUCAGUCUCAACAAUAAACGCUUUUAACAUAAAUAUUAAUAUUUCCGAUGCUCGAUGCAAAAUAGGGUUUUGACCAGUUGACAGCUCUCUUAAGACGAGAAACCGGGAUACACAAGAUAACCGGGUCUAGAAGAACUAGGAGGCGUGGUGAUGGAGCCAGGGAAAUGAUUCAACAUUAAAUUGAAAUGAACCAUGGUAAGGGGAAGGACUACUCAACAAUAAAAGAUGUAUUACUUAAAAGCUGUUUCUCUUUUUUUUGGGAAAAGAAACACAGAGUAAAAAGGUUUUUAGAUAAAACAUAAGUGUAUCUAGUUUCCACAGCCCUGUUUACACUGUUAAGAAAAUAAAUUCUCUUCAAGCAUGGCAGCGAAUAAAAAUAGAGAAAUUGU
Long non-coding RNA from Nematostella vectensis (starlet sea anemone), 445 nucleotides. RefSeq lists it as uncharacterized. The transcript is spliced from 2 exons. Lineage: Eukaryota; Metazoa; Cnidaria; Anthozoa; Actiniaria; Edwardsiidae. The record is from RefSeq and is a predicted model, not a curated record.